UUCAUCGUUAGGUGGAAUCUGAAGGAAAUCGGCGGCAAAUCUCCGCCCUAAGGGACACGAACUUCAGAUAAGGCUAGGUGUAUUUGAAAUGAGAUUGUCAAACAAAUCAAAGUUCUUACUGCCAAAGGAUACAUCAUCAAAUAAAUGAAGUAGGGAGAUGGAGCGGAAGAAUGAGUG
This 177-nucleotide non-coding RNA is filed under the name Pseudogracilibacillus auburnensis. Lineage: Bacteria; Bacillati; Bacillota; Bacilli; Caryophanales; Bacillaceae. The record is from RNAcentral.